RNAcentral lists this ribosomal RNA (3069 nucleotides) under Carnegiea gigantea. RNAcentral's name for it is "eukaryotic LSU rRNA". It matches the Rfam family "Eukaryotic large subunit ribosomal RNA". Lineage: Eukaryota; Viridiplantae; Streptophyta; Magnoliopsida; Caryophyllales; Cactaceae. The record is from RNAcentral.
UGGCUGGCCUAAAACGAGAGCCCACAGCGACAAGCUAUGACAAUGAUUGGUGGUGGACGAGGCCUUAAGUGGCCAAUGUUUGCAUCGUGCCGCACACACACGCUGUCGGGAAUUGCUCGUUGGACCCUAACUUGUGUUGAAAGCACAAAACCAUUGCGACCCCAGGUCAAGCAGGGCUACCUACUAAGUUUAAGCAUAUCAAUAAGCACUAUGGUAGACUCGGGUUGCUUGGGAAUGCAGCCUCAAGCAGACGGCAAAUUCCGUCCAAGGUUAAAUUCGGGCGAGAGACCGCUAGCGAACGAGUGCCGCGAGGGAAACAUGAAAGGAACUUUGAAAAGAGAGUCAAAGAGUGCUUGAAAUUUUUAGGAGGGAAGCGGAUGUAGGCCGGCAAUACGCCCCGGUCGGAUAUGGAACGGCCACAAGCCGAUCUGCGAAUCGGCUCGGGGCACAGACCGACGCAGACUGGGAGGGCGGCUGAACCCCGGUCCCCGGGAGUGUGGUCCACGCGAUUACGGAAGGCAGCGUACACUGUCACAGCAUGCCUCGACAUCUGCGUACUCCAGGCGUCAGCCUACAGGCCCCCCAUUCGGCCCGUCUUGAAACACGGACCAAGGAGUCCGACAUGUGUGCGAGUCAACGGGCGAGCAUGCGGCGCAAGGAAGCCAGUUGGUGGGAUCCCGUCACGAGUGCAUCACCGACCGACCUUGAUCUUCUUAGAAGGGUUCGAAUGAGAGCAUACUUGUUGGGACCCAAAAGAUGGUGAACUAUGCCUGAGCGGGGGGAAGCCAGAGGAAACUCGGGUGGAGGCCCAAAGCAAUACUGACGUGCAAAUCGUUCGUCUAACUUGGGUAUAGGGGCGAAAGACUAAUCGAACCGUCUAGUAGCUGCUUCCCUCCGCAGUUUCCGUCAGGAUAGUUGGCGCUCAUACACAAGUUCUAUCAGAUAAAGCCAAUGAUUAGAGGCAUCGGGGGUGCAAUGCCCUCGGCCUAUUCUCAAGCUUUAAACAGGUAGGAUGGCACAACUGCUUUUUUGAGCCGCACCAAGGAAUUAAGAGCUCCAAGUAGGCCAUUUUUGGUGAGCAGAACUGGCGAUGAGGGAUGAACCGGAAGCCAGGUUACGAUGCCCCACUGUGUGCUAUCCUAGAUCCCACAAAGGGUGUUAGUCGAUUAAGACAGCAGUAGAGUGGUCAUGGAAGUCAAAAUCUACUAAGGAGUAUGUAACAACUUACCUGGCGAAUCAACUAGCCCCGAAAAUAGAUGGCGUUGAAGCGCAUGGCCUAUACCCGACCGUCAGGGCAAGUGCCAGGCCUCGAUGAGUAGGAGGGCGCGGCAGUCACUGUAAAACCUGUGGCGCGAGCCAGGGCGGAGCGACCGUUGGUACAGAUCUUGGUGGUAGCAGCAAAUAUUCAAGUAAGAACUUUGAAGCCCGAAGAGGGGAAAGUUCCAUGUGAACAGCAGUUACACAUGGGUUAAUCGAUCCUAAGCGACGGGGGAAGCUCGUCUGACAGUGUGUUUCGUGCGAGCUUUGAAAAGGAAUCGAGUUAAAAUUUUCGAACUAGGACACGGCGGUUAAUGCCAACGCAGGGAGUCUGGAGACGUCGGCGGAGGCCUCGAGAAGAGUUAUCUUUUAUGUUUAACAGCCUACCUACCCUGGAAACGACUUAGUCAGAGGUAGGGUCCAGCGGCUGGAAGAGCAACGCACGUGGCGUGGUGUUUGGUGCACCCCCGGCGGCCCUUGAAAAUCCGGAGGACCGAGUGCCGACCACACCGGCUCAUACUCAUAACCGCAUCAGGUCUCCAAGGUGAACAACCUCUGGUCGACGGAACAAUGUAGGCAAGGGAAGUCGGUAAAAUCGAUCCAUAACUUCGGGAAAAGGAUUGGCUCUGAGGGCUGGGCAAGGGGGUCCCAGUCCCGAACCCGUCGGCUAUCGGGAGACUGCUCAAGCUGCUCGCACAGCGAGAGAGGGUCGCCACAUGCCAACCGAGGGACGGAAUGAGAACGGGCCCUUUAGGGGCCCUUCCUGGGCGUCGAUCAGUCAACUCAUAACUGGUAUGGACAAGGGAAAUCCGACUGUUUAAUUAAAACAAAGCAUUGCGAUGGUCAUUGAGAAUGUUAACGCUAUGUGACUUCUGCUUAGUGCUCUAAAUGUCAAAGUGAAGACAUGCAACCAAGCGUAGGUAAACGGUGGGAGUAAUUAUGACUCUCUUAAAGUAGCCAAAUGCCUUGUCAUCUAAUUAGUGAUGCGUAUACUAUCCAACGAAACCACAGCCAAGGGAACGGGCUUGGCAGAAUCAGCGAGGAAGGAAGACCCUAUAGAGCUUGACUCUAGUCCGACUUUGCGAAAUGGCUUGAGAGGUGUAGCAUAAGUGGGAGCUUCAACGUAAGUGAAAUAGCACUACUUUUAAGGUUAGUUUACGUACUCCAUGAGCCGGAGGGGGGACAUCACCUCUUUUUUUGGACCUAGGGCUCACCUUACAGGCGGAUCCAGUCAGAGGACAUUGUUAGGUGGGGAGUUUGGGCGGUGCGGCACAUCUGUUAAAAGAUAACACAGGUCUCCUAAGAUGAGCUCAAUGAGAGCAAAAAUCUCAUAUGGAACAGAAGGAUAAAAGCUCAUUUGAUUCUGAUUUUUAGUACGAAUAUGAAACGUGAAAGCAUGGCUUCACGAUCCUUUAGACCUUUAGAAUUUGAAGCUAGAGGUCAGAAAAUUUACCACAGGGAUAACUAGCAUGUGGCAGCUAAGCGUUCAUAGCGACGUUGCUUUUUGAUCCUUCGAUGUUGGUCUUCCUAUCAUUGUGAAGCAGAAUUCACCAAGUGUUGGAUUGUUCACCCACCAAUAGGGAACGUGAGCUGGGUUUAGACCGUCGUGAGAUAGGUUAGUUUUACCCUACCGAUGACAGUGUCGCGAUGGUAAUUCAACCUAGUACGAUAGGAACCAUUGAUUCACACAAUUGCUCAUUGCAUUUGGUUGAAAAGCCAGCAGUGCGAAACGACCAUGCACCAGAUUAUGAUUGAAUGCCUCUAAGUUAAAAUCUGGGCCAGAAGUGAUGCAUGCACCCACUACCCAAUUGU